AAGGAUCAUUACAGUGCCUGCGGGACGUCGGGUAACACCGGCGCCCUGCAAACUGGCCACCCGUGUCUACCUUACCUCUGUUGCUUUGGCGGGCCCGUCCCCAGUGGACCGCCGGGGGAGCGUACGUACGCCUCCUUAGGAUUCCAGCGGGCGUACCCACGCCUCGCUGGAAUCUUAGGGGGCGUAGGUAUGCGCCCCGGGCCAGCGCCCGCCAAGGGACCCUCAGAACUCCUGUGAAGCAGUGCCGUCUGAGUCGAUAUUUAAUCGAAACAAAACUUUCAACAACGGAUCUCUUGGUUCCG
RNAcentral lists this unclassified non-coding RNA (302 nucleotides) under uncultured fungus. RNAcentral's name for it is "partial contains 18S rRNA, ITS1, 5.8S rRNA, ITS2 and 28S rRNA". The record is from RNAcentral. Lineage: Eukaryota; Fungi.